CCUACGGGUGGCAGCAGUGAGGAAUAUUGGUCAAUGGACGCAAGUCUGAACCAGCCAUGCCGCGUGAAGGAAGACGGCUCUAUGAGUUGUAAACUGCUUUUGUACGAGGGUAAACGCAGAUACGCGUAUCUGUCUGAAAGUAUCUUACGAAUAAGCAUCGGCUAACUCCGUGCCAGCAGCCGCGGUAAUACGGAGGAUUCAAGCGUUAUCCGGAUUUAUUGGGUUUAAAGGGUGCGUAGGCGGUUCGGUAAGUUAGUGGUGAAAUCCCGGGGCUCAACGCCGGCACUGCCUUUGAAACUGUCAGGCUAGAGUUUAGUUGCGGUAGGCGGAAUGUAUGGUGUAGCGGUGAAAUGCAUAGAGAUCAUACAGAACACCGAUUGCGAAGGCAGCUUACCAAACUACGACUGACGUUGAGGCACGAAAGCGUGGGGAGCAAACAGGAUUAGAUACCCCUGUAGUC
RNAcentral lists this ribosomal RNA (460 nucleotides) under uncultured bacterium. Its description in RNAcentral is "partial 16S ribosomal RNA". It matches the Rfam family "Bacterial small subunit ribosomal RNA", at positions 338 to 795 of the family's 1533-position model. The record is from RNAcentral.